CACCUAGGGCUCUUGUUAAAAAGCAGAUUCUGAUUCAGGGACCAAGAUUCUGCAUUUUUAGCAAGUUCUCAAGUGAUG
This 78-nucleotide microRNA precursor is filed under the name Jaculus jaculus (lesser Egyptian jerboa). RNAcentral describes it as "miRNA (ENSJJAG00000002262.1)". It matches the Rfam family "mir-544 microRNA precursor family". Lineage: Eukaryota; Metazoa; Chordata; Mammalia; Rodentia; Dipodidae. The record is from RNAcentral.